GUCUAUGACCAUGCCACCCUGAACGUGCCCGAUCCUGUCUGAUCUCGGAAGCCAAGCGGGGUCGGGCCUGGUUAGUACUUGGAUGGGAGACCACGUAGGAAGACUGGGUGCUGUAAGCG
This 119-nucleotide ribosomal RNA is filed under the name Pteropus alecto (black flying fox). Lineage: Eukaryota; Metazoa; Chordata; Mammalia; Chiroptera; Pteropodidae. The record is from RNAcentral.